CCGGGUGGCAUGCCGAAUCCCGCCUCGCCUGGUGUUCAACAGAUCUGAGGGUGGGAGCGGGGGACCCGGGUUCCCGGGCGUUGUGGGUGGGCGUCCUAUCCGGGGUGAAGCCGCCGGUCGUGAUCUGGUGCGUGGUUACCGGGCUUUUUGCAGUCCGAACCCGACCGCUGACUUCGUAGGCGUGAGGAAGGGACAA
Molecule: small RNA, 196 nt
Filed under: Frankia sp.
Lineage: Bacteria; Bacillati; Actinomycetota; Actinomycetes; Frankiales; Frankiaceae
Description: c-di-AMP sequence
Rfam family: c-di-AMP riboswitch aptamer (ydaO/yuaA leader)
About the family: This family represents a conserved RNA structure found upstream of the ydaO and yuaA genes in Bacillus subtilis and related genes in other bacteria.
Source: RNAcentral